RNAcentral lists this ribosomal RNA (301 nucleotides) under uncultured bacterium. Its description in RNAcentral is "partial 16S ribosomal RNA". It matches the Rfam family "Bacterial small subunit ribosomal RNA", at positions 509 to 809 of the family's 1533-position model. The record is from RNAcentral.
CAGUCGCCACGGGAAUACGGAGGGUGCAAGCGUUGUCCGGAUUUAUUGGGUUUAAAGGGUGCGCAGGCGGUUAUAUAAGACAGAUGUGAAAUCCCCGGGCUCAACCUGGGAACUGCAUUUGUGACUGGCGAGCUAGAGUAUGGCAGAGGGGGGUAGAAUUCCACGUGUAGCAGUGAAAUGCGUAGAGAUCGGGAGGAACAUCAGUGGCGAAGGUGGCCAUCUGGGACAACACUGACGCUGAGGAGCGAAAGCAUGGGGAGCGAACAGGAUUAGAUACCCCCGUAGUCCUGUCUCUUAUACA